This 253-nucleotide ribosomal RNA is filed under the name uncultured bacterium. RNAcentral describes it as "partial 16S ribosomal RNA". It matches the Rfam family "Bacterial small subunit ribosomal RNA", at positions 524 to 776 of the family's 1533-position model. The record is from RNAcentral.
UACAGAGGCCCCAAGCGUUACUGAGAAUCACUGGGUUUAAAGGGUGCGUAGGUGGCGCGUUAAGUCCGUUGUGAAAUCCCCGGGCUCAACCCGGGAACUGCGUCCGAUACUGGCAGGCUUGAAUCCGGGAGAGGGAUGUGGAAUUCCAGGUGUAGCGGUGAAAUGCGUAGAUAUCUGGAGGAACACCGGUGGCGAAGGCGGCAUCCUGGACCGGUAUUGACGCUGAGGCGCGAAAGCCAGGGGAGCAAACGGG